UGAGGAAUAUUGGACAAUGGGCGCAAGCCUGAUCCAGCCAUGCCGCGUGCAGGAAGAAGCAUCUAUGGUGUGUAAACUGCUUUUGUACGGGAAGAAACACUCCUUCGUGAAGGAGCUUGACGGUACCGUAAGAAUAAGGAUCGACUAACUCCGUGCCAGCAGCCGCGGUAAUACGGAGGAUCCAAGCGUUAUCCGGAAUCAUUGGGUUUAAAGGGUCCGUAGGCGGUUUAGUAAGUCAGUGGUGAAAGCCCAUCGCUCAACGAUGGAACGGCCAUUGAUACUGCUAGACUUGAAUUAUUAGGAAGUAACUAGAAUACGUAGUGUAGCGGUGAAAUGCUUAGAUAUUACAUGGAAUAACAAUUGUGAAGGCAGGUUACUACUAAUGGACUGACGCUGAUGGACGAAAGCGUGGGGAGCGAACA
RNAcentral lists this ribosomal RNA (422 nucleotides) under uncultured bacterium. Its description in RNAcentral is "bacterial SSU rRNA". It matches the Rfam family "Bacterial small subunit ribosomal RNA", at positions 355 to 774 of the family's 1533-position model. The record is from RNAcentral.